Non-coding RNA from Picea glauca (white spruce), 421 nucleotides. The record is from Rfam. NCBI's taxonomy places the organism in Eukaryota, Viridiplantae, Streptophyta, Pinopsida, Pinales, Pinaceae.
UGUCAUAAGAUUUCCCAAAAAUCAAUCUCAAUGAAGAGGGUGUUGAAAUCAAGGAAACAUUUGAGGGCAUUCCAUAACUUUUUCCCCUUCAAGAAAUAUCACAGACAACCUUCCAUCCAAAUUCAACAAAAAUGAAACCAAUUUUUUUAUAUUUCUUGGUGCCUCAUCCUAUAAUCGAUGACAAAAUUAGGAAAUCCAGAGACGUCGUCGAGGCCCCUGGGAAGACUUAUCUUUUCUUUUUAACAAAUUUCCCACCCUGAAAUUGGCUCAACCAAAGAUAGGGUCUAGUAGCUGGAAGAGAUUCACACAUCUUGCGGUGUCUGGUGCACCCUCAGUGACCCUUGAAAAUCUAGAGGACCGAGUAUCAUACAUGCCUGGUCGUACUCAUAACCGCAUUAGGUCUUUGAGGUGAACAAACUCU